UGGGGAAUAUUGGACAAUGGGCGCAAGCCUGAUCCAGCCAUGCCGCGUGAGUGACGAAGGUCUUCGGAUUGUAAAACUCUUUUUGGCGGGGACGAUAAUGACGGUACCCGCAGAAUAAGCCCCGGCUAACUUCGUGCCAGCAGCCGCGGUAAUACGAAGGGGGCUAGCGUUGUUCGGAAUCACUGGGCGUAAAGCGCACGUAGGCGGAUGUGCCAGUCAGGGGUGAAAUCCCGGAGCUCAACUCCGGAACUGCCUCUGAUACUGCACGUCUUGAGUUCGAGAGAGGUGGGUGGAAUUCCUAGUGUAGAGGUGAAAUUCGUAGAUAUUAGGAAGAACACCGGUGGCGAAGGCGGCCCACUGGCUCGAUACUGACGCUGAGGUGCGAAAGCGUGGGGAGCAAACAGGAUUAGAUACCCUAGUAGUCCCUGAGCGGGCUGGCAAGGCGCAU
This 448-nucleotide ribosomal RNA is filed under the name uncultured bacterium. RNAcentral describes it as "bacterial SSU rRNA". It matches the Rfam family "Bacterial small subunit ribosomal RNA", at positions 355 to 825 of the family's 1533-position model. The record is from RNAcentral.